Molecule: ribosomal RNA, 853 nt
Filed under: uncultured archaeon
Lineage: Archaea
Description: bacterial SSU rRNA
Rfam family: Archaeal small subunit ribosomal RNA
Source: RNAcentral
GGUAACACCGGCAGCCCGAGUGGUGAUCACUAUUAUUGGGUCUAAAGGGUCCGUAGCCGGUUUAAUCAGUCUUCUGGGAAAUCUAAUCGCUUAACUAUUAGGCUUCCAGGGGAUACUGUUAGACUUGGGACCGGGAGAGGUAAGAGGUACUGCAGGGGUAGGAGUGAAAUCUUGUAAUCCCUGUGAGACCACCAGUGGCGAAGGCGUCUUACCAGAACGGGUCCGACGGUGAGGGACGAAAGCUGGGGGCACGAACCGGAUUAGAUACCCGGGUAGUCCCAGCUGUAAACGAUGCUCGUUAGGUGUCAGGAACGGUGCGACUGUUUCUGGUGCCGAAGGGAAGCCGUGAAACGAGCCACCUGGGAAGUACGGCCGCAAGGCUGAAACUUAAAGGAAUUGGCGGGGGAGCACUACAACGGGUGGAGCCUGCGGUUUAAUUGGACUCAACGCCGGAAAACUCACCGGGGGCGACAGCAAUAUGUAGGUCAGGUUAAAGGUCUUACCUGAAUCGCUGAGAGGAGGUGCAUGGCCGUCGUCAGUUCGUACUGUGAAGCAUCCUGUUAAGUCAGGCAACGAGCAAGACCCGUGCCCACUGUUACCAGCAUAUCCUUUAUGGAUGAUGGGGACUCUGUGGGGACCGCUGCUGCUAAAGCAGAGGAAGGUGCGGGCUACGGUAGGUCAGUAUGCCCCGAAUCUCCCGGGCUACACGCGGGCUACAAUGGUUGGGACAAUGGGUAUCUACUCCGAAAGGAGUUGGCAAUCUCUUAAACCCAAUCGUAGUUCGAAUUGAGGGCUGUAACUCGCCCUCAUGAAGCUGGAAUCCGUAGUAAUCGCGUUUCAACAUAGCGCGGUG